AGAGUUUGAUCAUGGCUCAGAGCGAACGCUAGCGGCGGGCCUAACACAUGCAAGUCGAGCGCCUGGUUUCGGCCAGGAGCGGCGGACGGGUGAGUAACACGUAGGCAACCUGCCCUCUGGUGGUGGAUAACACGGGGAAACUCGUGCUAAUACAGCAUAUGGUCCACGGAUCAAAGCCGUAAGGCGCCAGAGGAUGGGCCUGCGUCCCAUUAUUUAAUCCUAGUUGGCGGGGUAACGGCCCACCAAGGGUACGAUGGGUAGCUGGUCUGAGAGGAUGAUCAGCCACACUGGAACUGAGACACGGUCCAGACUCCUACGGGAGGCAGCAGUGGGGAAUAUUGCGCAAUGGGGGAAACCCUGACGCAGCCACGCCGCGUGUGUGAUGAAGGCCUUCGGGUCGUAAAGCACUGUCGGGAGGGACGAAGUUCUGACGGUACCUCCCAAGAAAGCACCGGCUAACCCUGUGCCAGCAGCCGCGGUAAUUC
RNAcentral lists this ribosomal RNA (485 nucleotides) under uncultured bacterium. RNAcentral's name for it is "bacterial SSU rRNA". It matches the Rfam family "Bacterial small subunit ribosomal RNA", at positions 8 to 526 of the family's 1533-position model. The record is from RNAcentral.